Molecule: ribosomal RNA, 346 nt
Filed under: uncultured Sphingobacteriales bacterium
Lineage: Bacteria; Pseudomonadati; Bacteroidota; Sphingobacteriia; Sphingobacteriales
Description: bacterial SSU rRNA
Rfam family: Bacterial small subunit ribosomal RNA
Source: RNAcentral
AGGUGCUGCAUGGUUGUCGUCAGCUCGUGCCGUGAGGUGUCGGGUUAAGUCCCAUAACGAGCGCAACCCCACCUUUAGUUGCCAUCAGGUUAAGCUGGGGACUCUAAAGGAACUGCCUACGCAAGUAGUGAGGAAGGCGGGGAUGACGUCAAAUCAGCACGGCCCUUACGUCCAGGGCUACACACGUGCUACAAUGGCCGAUACAGAGGGCAGCUACCUGGUGACAGGAUGCAAAUCUCCAAAGUCGGUCUCAGUUCGGAUCGGAGUCUGCAACCCGACUCCGUGAAGUUGGAUUCGCUAGUAAUCGCGCAUCAGCCAUGGCGCGGUGAAUACGUUCCCGGGCCUU